UUGCGCAAGCUGUAUUCGCCUCGACCAGAAGCGGCGUCAAACCUCCGUCCCAUUUUCAUUGUACAAUGUGUUACACAACGCGCCGAUUCCCCAGCACUUUCUAGGCGCCGUGGUGAAAUUUUAUUGUGAAGAAAAGAAAGGCUCCGAACAGACAUUCCUUACAGCUUCAGACCCUGUAAUCAUUGCUGAUAUUGAAGAUAGGUGCGACAUAUAAUCGUGAUGGUAUCAUUUCGUGUGCUAUGCGCAUUCUGCCUUGUCUCGGGCAUUAUCGCGCACAAUGCGAGCUCCAACUGCAAGGCUAACGGCUAUCAAUGCAAGCUGAAGUUCUUGUGCCCGAAGAAAGACAGGGUAGAGCUAGGAGGCUGUUGGUUUUGGAGUACGUGCUGCAAAAAAAAGAAACAUGACACCUGUUCAUCAAUUCGUGGGACCUGCCAGGAUAUCUCCAAACCAUGCCGUGGACUUGUACACGCAGGAAUGCAAUGCGGGAACGGCCAGAGGUGCUGCGUCCCCGUUUCGCACUAGUGACCUUCGGGAACAACAAGUACGCCGUUUUUCCUGUGGCUUCCUGAGAGCGACUUACUCGGCGUUUUCCUCGUGGCCUAUUUGCAGAAUAUUUGAGGAAUAAAGCUUCCCAUAUUCAGUGAAUUGGAUUGAAGG
Non-coding RNA from Dermacentor albipictus, 657 nucleotides. The record is from RefSeq and is a predicted model, not a curated record. Lineage: Eukaryota; Metazoa; Arthropoda; Arachnida; Ixodida; Ixodidae.